AUUGAACGCUAGCGGUAAGCCUAAUACAUGCAAGUCGAGCGCGAAAGUCCCUUCGGGGGCGAUUAGAGCGGCGGACGGGUGAGUAACACGUAGGUAUCUACCUGGUAGUGGGGAAUAGCCCAGGGAAACCUGGAUUAAUACCGCAUAUGUUCUACGGAACAAAGGGAGCCUCUUCUUGAAAGCUCUCGCUACCAGAUGAACCUGCGCCGGAUUAGCUUGUUGGUGGGGUAAAAGCCCACCAAGGCGACGAUCCGUAGCUGGUCUUAGAGGAUGAUCAGCCACACUGGGACUGAGACACGGCCCAGACUCCUACGGGAGGCAGCA
Molecule: ribosomal RNA, 324 nt
Filed under: uncultured bacterium
Lineage: Bacteria
Description: bacterial SSU rRNA
Rfam family: Bacterial small subunit ribosomal RNA
Source: RNAcentral